CUAACACAUGCAAGUCGAGCGGUAGCACAGAGAGCUUGCUCUCGGGUGACGAGCGGCGGACGGGUGAGUAAUGUCUGGGAAACUGCCUGAUGGAGGGGGAUAACUACUGGAAACGGUAGCUAAUACCGCAUAAUGUCGCAAGACCAAAGUGGGGGACCUUCGGGCCUCAUGCCAUCAGAUGUGCCCAGAUGGGAUUAGCUAGUAGGUGGGGUAAUGGCUCACCUAGGCGACGAUCCCUAGCUGGUCUGAGAGGAUGACCAGCCACAC
This 267-nucleotide ribosomal RNA is filed under the name Acinetobacter baumannii. RNAcentral's name for it is "partial 16S ribosomal RNA". It matches the Rfam family "Bacterial small subunit ribosomal RNA", at positions 48 to 313 of the family's 1533-position model. Lineage: Bacteria; Pseudomonadati; Pseudomonadota; Gammaproteobacteria; Moraxellales; Moraxellaceae. The record is from RNAcentral.